This is a long non-coding RNA of Mytilus californianus (California mussel), 400 nucleotides long. RefSeq lists it as uncharacterized. The record is from RefSeq and is a predicted model, not a curated record. Lineage: Eukaryota; Metazoa; Mollusca; Bivalvia; Mytilida; Mytilidae. The transcript is spliced from 3 exons.
UAACUACAGAUCAGCAAGAAAACACAGUAGUCAGAGAUGAAAUAGAAACAGGGACAACUACAGAUCAGCAAGAAAACACAGUAGUCAGAGGUGAAAUAGAAACAGGGACAACUACAGAUCAGCAAGAAAACACAGUAGUCAGAGGUGAAAUAGAAACAGGGACAACUACAGAUCAGCAAGAAAACACAGUAGUCAGAGGUGAAAUAGAAACAGGGACAACUACAGAUCAGCAAGAAAACACAGUAGUCAGAGAUGAAAUAGAAAAAGGGACAACUACAGAUCAGCAAGAAAACACAGUAGUCAGAGAUGAAAUGGAAACAGGGACAACUACGGAUCAGCAAGAAAACACAGUAGUCAGAGAUGAAAUAGAAACAGGGACAACUACAGAUCAGCAAGAAAA